CCUACGGGAGGCAGCAGUGGGGAAUAUUGCGCAAUGGGCGUAAGCCUGACGCAGCGACGUCGCGUGAGGGAUGAAGGUCUUCGGAUCGUUAACCUCUGUCAGCAGGGAAGAACGGCCACUGUGCUAAUCAGCAGCGAAUUGACGGUACCUGCAAAGGAUGCACUGGCUCACUCCGUGCCAGCACCCGCGGGCAUAAGGUGGGUGCGUUCGUUAAUCGGAAUUAAUGGGCGGAAAGCGCGCGUAGGCGGGAAGGCAAGGGAAGGGUGAAAUGCCCGCGCUCAACGUUGGAACUGCCUUUGAAACUGGCGAACUGGAGUGUGUGAGAAGAAAGUGGAAUUCGAGGUGUAGGGGUGAAAUCCGUAGAUAUCAGGAAGAACAUCAGUGGCGAAGGCGACUAACUGGCACCUAACUGACGCUGAAGAGCGAAAGCGUGGGUAGCGAACAGGAUUAGAUACCCGUGUAGUC
This 465-nucleotide ribosomal RNA is filed under the name uncultured bacterium. Its description in RNAcentral is "partial 16S ribosomal RNA". It matches the Rfam family "Bacterial small subunit ribosomal RNA", at positions 338 to 795 of the family's 1533-position model. The record is from RNAcentral.